Molecule: unclassified non-coding RNA, 482 nt
Filed under: Hevea brasiliensis (rubber tree)
Lineage: Eukaryota; Viridiplantae; Streptophyta; Magnoliopsida; Malpighiales; Euphorbiaceae
Source: RNAcentral
AUUAAUAUUGCAUCUGGGUUUGAUUGAAAUUUUGGAUAAAAAAACCCAAACUCAUCAUUUACACAGAUUCAAAGAUUCAAAAACCAAAAAGGAAAGAAAAUUGAGUUAAAGAAAAUAAAAAUCAGUAACAGUUUUAUAGAAACCCAGAUUCAUCUAUUUACACAGAUUCAAGAACCCAAAAUCAUUAUUUACAGACUCAAAAACUCAUCAUUUACAUUCAUACACAAAUGACAAGUCUCGAAGACUAAAAGAUGAUCGGUGACUAUAGGCGAUGGUUGGAGAAGAACAGUGAAGAUGGACGAUCUGGCAAGCAAGGAGCAAACGAGAUGGACAUAUCUACGAGGGCCGAGGAGGGAUGGAUCUGCUAGGAGCUAUGAGUUUGCCAUAAGUCAUGAAGGUGAGGUCAAUGACGGUGAAUCUAGAAAAUGGCCGCGAGAAAAUGAGCAUCUGCGAAGUGAAUGGCGUGGUUUCUUUUGCUCUAG